CCUACGGGAGGCAGCAGUGGGGGAUAUUGCACAAUGGGGGAAACCCUGAUGCAGCGACGCCGCGUGAGUGAAGAAGUAUUUCGGUAUGUAACGCUCUAUCAGCAGGGAAGAAAAUGACAGUACCUGCCCAAGAAGCCCCGGCUAACUACGUGCCAGCAGCCUCGGUCAUACGUAGGGGGCAAGCGUUAUCCGGAUUUGCUGGGUGUAAAGGGAGCGUAUACGGUUAUGUAAGUCUGGAGUGAAAGCCCGGGGCCCAACCCCGGGACUGCUUUGGAAACUGUGUAACGGGAGGACAGGAGGGGCAGGCGGAAUUCCUGGUGUAGCGGUGAAAUGCGUAGAGAUCAGGAGGAACACCGGCGGCGAAGGCGGCCUGCUGGACUGAAACUGACGUUGAGGCUCGAAAGCGUGGGGAGCAAACAGGAUUAGAGACCCGAGUAGUC
Molecule: ribosomal RNA, 440 nt
Filed under: uncultured bacterium
Lineage: Bacteria
Description: partial 16S ribosomal RNA
Rfam family: Bacterial small subunit ribosomal RNA
Source: RNAcentral